AAAGCGCGCGCAGGCGGUCUUUUAAGUCUGAUGUGAAAGCCCCCGGCUCAACCGGGGAGGGUCAUUGGAAACUGGGAGACUUGAGUACAGAAGAGGAGAGUGGAAUUCCACGUGUAGCGGUGAAAUGCGUAGAUAUGUGGAGGAACACCAGUGGCGAAGGCGACUCUCUGGUCUGUAACUGACGCUGAGGCGCGAAAGCGUGGGGAGCAAACAGGAUUAGAUACCCUGGUAGUCCACGCCGUAAACGAUGAGUGCUAGGUGUUAGGGGUUUCGAUGCCCUUAGUGCCGAAGUUAACACAUUAAGCACUCCGCCUGGGGAGUACGACCGCAAGGUUGAAACUCAAAGGAAUUGACGGGGGCCCGCACAAGCAGUGGAGCAUGUGGUUUAAUUCGAAGCAACGCGAAGAACCUUACCAGGUCUUGACAUCCUUUGACAAUCCUAGAGAUAGGACUUUCCCCUUCGGGGGACAAAGUGACAGGUGGUGCAUGGUUGUCGUCAGCUCGUGUCGUGAGAUGUUGGGUUAAGUCCCGCAACGAGCGCAACCCUUGAUCUUAGUUGCCAGCAUUUAGUUGGGCACUCUAAGGUGACUGCCGGUGACAAACCGGAGGAAGGUGGGGACGACGUCAAAUCAUCAUGCCCCUUAUGACCUGGGCUACACACGUGCUACAAUGGAUGGUUCCAAAGAGCAGCAAAACCGCGAGGUCGAGCCAAUCUCAUAAAGCCAUUCUCAGUUCGGAUUGUAGGUUGCAACUCGCCUACAUGAAGCCGGAAUUGCUAG
RNAcentral lists this ribosomal RNA (779 nucleotides) under uncultured bacterium. RNAcentral describes it as "bacterial SSU rRNA". It matches the Rfam family "Bacterial small subunit ribosomal RNA", at positions 562 to 1338 of the family's 1533-position model. The record is from RNAcentral.